CUCUAGUGGGGAUAACCCACAAACAAACUACAUAGACAUUGAUAGUCUGAUGUACCAAACGAUAUAUAAGAUAUGGUCAUAUACAUCUUUUGGUAUAUUAGACUAUCAGUGUCUUUGGAAAACAAUAUUCCUGCUCCACCCACGGCCCCUCCUUAGGAGUGCCACCCAAAAACACGAGAUGAGCCAAAAAGUGUAUAGAAUCUCAGAUGAAACCAAAAAAAAUUGUAAUCCAUUUUGAGAGCCACAUUAAAUUUGCAGUGG
This is a non-coding RNA of Pelobates cultripes (western spadefoot toad), 261 nucleotides long. The record is from the annotation of a GenBank genome assembly. Lineage: Eukaryota; Metazoa; Chordata; Amphibia; Anura; Pelobatidae.